Molecule: ribosomal RNA, 78 nt
Filed under: Eugenia sp. 4 FFM-2014
Lineage: Eukaryota; Viridiplantae; Streptophyta; Magnoliopsida; Myrtales; Myrtaceae
Description: partial 28S ribosomal RNA
Rfam family: Eukaryotic large subunit ribosomal RNA
Source: RNAcentral
ACGCGACCCCAGGUCAAGCGGGGCUACCCGCUGAGUUUAAGCAUAUCAAUAAGCGGAGGAAAARAACUACAGGWUCCC